RNAcentral lists this ribosomal RNA (253 nucleotides) under uncultured bacterium. Its description in RNAcentral is "partial 16S ribosomal RNA". It matches the Rfam family "Bacterial small subunit ribosomal RNA", at positions 524 to 776 of the family's 1533-position model. The record is from RNAcentral.
UACGCAGGGGGCUAGCGUUGUUCGGAAUUACUGGGCGUAAAGCGCACGUAGGCGGGUUUGUAAGGAGGGGGUGAAAUCCCCGGGCUCAACCCGGGAACUGCCUUCUAGACUGCAAGCCUGGAGGUCAGGAGAGGCGAGUGGAAUUCCGAGUGUAGAGGUGAAAUUCGUAGAUAUUCGGAGGAACACCAGUGGCGAAGGCGACUCGCUGGACUGAUAAUGACGCUGAGGUGCGAAAGCGUGGGGAGCAAACAGG